UGGGGAAUAUUGGACAAUGGGCGCAAGCCUGAUCCAGCCAUGCCGCGUGAGUGAUGAAGGCCCUAGGGUUGUAAAGCUCUUUCACCGGUGAAGAUAAUGACGGUAACCGGAGAAGAAGCCCCGGCUAACUUCGUGCCAGCAGCCGCGGUAAUACGAAGGGGGCUAGCGUUGUUCGGAUUUACUGGGCGUAAAGCGCACGUAGGCGGACUUUUAAGUCAGGGGUGAAAUCCCGGGGCUCAACCCCGGAACUGCCUUUGAUACUGGAAGUCUUGAGUAUGGUAGAGGUGAGAGGAAUUCCGAGUGUAGAGGUGAAAUUCGUAGAUAUUCGGAGGAACACCAGUGGCGAAGGCGGCUCACUGGACCAUUACUGACGCUGAGGUGCGAAAGCGUGGGGAGCAAACAGG
RNAcentral lists this ribosomal RNA (404 nucleotides) under Brucella melitensis. RNAcentral describes it as "partial 16S ribosomal RNA". It matches the Rfam family "Bacterial small subunit ribosomal RNA", at positions 355 to 776 of the family's 1533-position model. The record is from RNAcentral. Lineage: Bacteria; Pseudomonadati; Pseudomonadota; Alphaproteobacteria; Hyphomicrobiales; Brucellaceae. RNAcentral also lists the same sequence under 2 other names.